AGCAGCCGCGGUAAUUCCAGCUCCAAUAGCGUAUAUUAAAGUUGUUGCAGUUAAAAAGCUCGUAGUUGAAUUUCGGGAUUUGUCAGUUGGUCGGGCUUCACUGUCCGUACUGACUUGAUGGAUUCUUACCUUCUGAAUAACCAGCAUGCUAUUUAGUUAGUGCGUUGGGGAAGCAGAUCUAUUACCUUGAAAAAAUUAGAGUGCUUAAAGCGGGCUAGUGCUUGAAUAGAUUAGCAUGGAAUAAUAAAAUAGGACGGCAUGGUUCUAUUUUGUUGGUUUCUGGGAUCACCGUAAUGAUUAAUAGGGAUAGUUGGGGGCAUUAGUAUUCAAUUGUCAGAGGUGAAAUUCUUGGAUUUAUUGAAGACUAACUUCUGCAAAAGCAUUUGCCAAGGAUGUUUUCAUUAAUCAAGAACGAAAGUUAGGGGAUCGAAGACGAUCAGAUACCGUCGUAGUCUUAACCAUAAACUAUGCCGACUGGGAAUCGGACGAAGUUAAUUUUAUAAUGACUCG
RNAcentral lists this ribosomal RNA (510 nucleotides) under uncultured Acaulospora. RNAcentral's name for it is "SSU rRNA". It matches the Rfam family "Eukaryotic small subunit ribosomal RNA", at positions 569 to 1078 of the family's 1831-position model. Lineage: Eukaryota; Fungi; Glomeromycota; Glomeromycetes; Diversisporales; Acaulosporaceae. The record is from RNAcentral.